This 73-nucleotide transfer RNA is filed under the name Candidatus Parvarchaeum acidophilus ARMAN-5. It matches the Rfam family "tRNA". Rfam says of the family: Transfer RNA (tRNA) molecules are approximately 80 nucleotides in length. Their secondary structure includes four short double-helical elements and three loops (D, anti-codon, and T loops). Lineage: Archaea; Nanobdellati; Candidatus Parvarchaeota. The record is from Rfam by way of RNAcentral. RNAcentral also lists the same sequence under 3 other names.
GGGCCGAUGGCGCAAUUGGCAACGCGCUCCCCUUGCACGGGAGAGACUGUGGGUUCAAAUCCCAUUCGGUCCA